RNAcentral lists this ribosomal RNA (253 nucleotides) under uncultured bacterium. Its description in RNAcentral is "partial 16S ribosomal RNA". It matches the Rfam family "Bacterial small subunit ribosomal RNA", at positions 524 to 776 of the family's 1533-position model. The record is from RNAcentral.
UACAGAGGUCUCAAGCGUUGUUCGGAUUCAUUGGGCGUAAAGGGCGCGUAGGCUGCGGGGCAAGUCGGGUGUGAAAUCUCAGAGCUCAACUCUGAAACUGCACUCGAUACUGCUUUGCUUGAGGACUGGAGAGGAGAUUGGAAUUCACGGUGUAGCAGUGAAAUGCGUAGAUAUCGUGAGGAAGACCAGUGGCGAAGGCGGAUCUCUGGACAGUUCCUGACGCUGAGGCACGAAGGCCAGGGGAGCAAACGGG